AUUGAAUAGCGGCGGACGGGUGAGUAACGCGUGGGCAACCUACCUUUAACCGGGGGAUAACACAGGGAAACUUGUGCUAAUACCGCAUAAAAUCACAGUACGGCCUCGUACAAUGAUCAAAGGAGCAAUCCGGUAAAAGAUGGGCCCGCGUCCAAUUAGCUAGUUGGUGGGGUAAAGGCUCACCAAGGCGACGAUUGGUAGCCGGACUGAGAGGUUGAUCGGCCACAUUGGGACUGAGACACGGCCCACACUCCUACGGGAGGCAGCAGUGGGGAAUAUUGCGCAAUGGGGGGAACCCUGACGCAGCCCCGCCGCGUGAAGGAUGAAGGUUUUCGGAUUGUAAACUUCUUUGAUGAGGGACGAAACAAAUGACGGUACCUCAAAAACAAGCCACGGCUAACUACGUGCCAGCAGCCGCGGUAAUACGUAGGUGGCGAGCGUUGUCCGGAAUUACUGGGUGUAAAGGGCGUGUAGGCGGGGGAGCAAGUCAGAUGUGAAAUACCGAGGCUUAACUUCGGGGGUGCAUCUGAAACUGUUUUUCUUGGGUAUCGGAGAGGAAAGUGGAAUUCCUAGUGUAGCGGUGAAAUGCGUAGAUAUUAGGAGGAACACCAGUGGCGAAGGCGACUUUCUGGACGAUAACUGACGCUGAGGCGCGAAAGCGUGGGGAGCAAACAGAAGUAGAUACCCUGGUAGUCCACGCCGUAAACGAUGGAUACUAGGUGUAGGAGGUAUCGACCCCUUCUGUGCCGCAGUUAACACAAUAAGUAUCCCACCUGGGGAGUACGGCCGCAAGGCUGAAACUCAAAGGAAUUGACGGGGACCCGCACAAGCAGUGGAGUAUGUGGUUUAAUUCGAGGCAACGCGAAGAACCUUACCAGGGUUUGACAUCCCGCGCAAUGGGUAGAGAUACCCGGUUCCCUUCGGGGACGCGGAGACAGGUGGUGCAUGGUUGUCGUCAGCUCGUGCCGUGAGAUGUUGGGUUAAGUCCCGCAACGAGCGCAACCCCUAUAUUUAUUUGCCAGCAUUUUGGAUGGGAACUAUAGACAGACUGCCGAUAAGAAAUCGGAGGAAGGUGGGGAUGACGUCAAAUCAUCAUGCCCUAUAUGUCCUGGGCUACACACGUGCUACAAUGGUCGUUACAGAGAGCAGCUACACAGCGAUGUCACGCGAAUCUCAAAAAGGCGAUCUCAGUUCGGAUUGUACUCUGCAACUCGAGUACAUGAAGUCGGAGUUGCUAGUAAUCGCAAAUCAGAAUGUUGCGGUGAAUGCGUUCCCGGGUCUUGCACACAGCGCCUGUCA
This 1299-nucleotide ribosomal RNA is filed under the name uncultured bacterium. RNAcentral describes it as "bacterial SSU rRNA". It matches the Rfam family "Bacterial small subunit ribosomal RNA", at positions 87 to 1399 of the family's 1533-position model. The record is from RNAcentral.